RNAcentral lists this ribosomal RNA (206 nucleotides) under uncultured bacterium. RNAcentral's name for it is "partial 16S ribosomal RNA". It matches the Rfam family "Bacterial small subunit ribosomal RNA", at positions 568 to 774 of the family's 1533-position model. The record is from RNAcentral.
CGCGUAGGCGGGAACAUAAGUCAGAUGUGAAAUCCUGGAGCUCAACUCCAGAACAGCAUUUGAAACUAUAUUUCUUGAGGGUAGGCGGAGAAAACGGAAUUCCACAUGUAGCGGUGAAAUGCGUAGAUAUGUGGAAGAACAUCGGUGACGAAGGCGGUUUUCUAGCUUAUUCCUGACGCUGAGGCGCGAAAGCAAGGGAGCAAACA